GAAUAUUGGACAAUGGGCGAAAGCCUGAUCCAGCCAUGCCGCGUGUGUGAAGAAGGUCUUCGGAUUGUAAAGCACUCUAAGUUGGGAGGAAGGGCAGUAAGCGAAUACCUUGCCGUUUUGACGUUCCCGACAGAAUAAGCACCGCCCAACUCUGUCCCAGCAGCCGCGGUAAUACAGAGGGUGCCAGCGUUCAUCGGAAUUACUGGGCGUAAAGCGCGCGUAGGUGGUUCGUUAAGUUGGAUGUGAAAUGCCCGGGCUCAACCUGGGAACUGCAUCCAAAACUGGCGAGCUAGAGUAGGGCAGAGGGUGGUGGAAUUUCCUGUGUAGCGGUGAAAUGCGUAGAUAUAGGAAGGAACACCAGUGGCGUAGGCGACCACCUGGGCUCAUACUGACACUGAGGUGCGAAAGCGUGGGGAGCAAACA
Molecule: ribosomal RNA, 423 nt
Filed under: uncultured bacterium
Lineage: Bacteria
Description: partial 16S ribosomal RNA
Rfam family: Bacterial small subunit ribosomal RNA
Source: RNAcentral